CAGUAGCCGCGGUAAUACGGAGGGUGCAAGCGUUAAUCAGAAUUACUGGGCGUAAAGCGCACGCAAGCGGUCUGACAAGUCAGAUGUGAAAUCCCCGGGCUUAACCUGGGAACUGCAUUUGUGACUGGCGAGCUAGAGUAUGGCAGAGGGGGGUAGAAUUCCACGGGUAGCAGUGAAAUGCGUAGAGAUGUGGAGGAAUACCGAUGGCGAAGGCAGCCCCCUGGGCCAAUACUGACGCUCAUGCACGAAAGCGUGGGGAGCAAACAGGAUUAGAUACCCGCGUAGUCCCUGUCUCUUAUAC
This 301-nucleotide ribosomal RNA is filed under the name uncultured bacterium. Its description in RNAcentral is "partial 16S ribosomal RNA". It matches the Rfam family "Bacterial small subunit ribosomal RNA", at positions 509 to 807 of the family's 1533-position model. The record is from RNAcentral.